This 254-nucleotide ribosomal RNA is filed under the name uncultured bacterium. RNAcentral describes it as "partial 16S ribosomal RNA". It matches the Rfam family "Bacterial small subunit ribosomal RNA", at positions 524 to 776 of the family's 1533-position model. The record is from RNAcentral.
UACGUAGGGUCCGAGCGUUGUCCGGAUUUAUUGGGCGUAAAGAGCUCGUAGGCGGUUCCAUAAGUCAGAUGUGAAAACUCAGGGCUCAACCCGGAGACGCCAUCUGAUACUGCGGUGACUGGAGUCUGGUAGGGGAACACGGAAUUCCUGGUGUAGCGGUGAAAUGCGCAGAUAUCAGGAGGAACACCGAUGGCGAAGGCAGUGUUCUGGGCCAGUACUGACGCUGAGGAGCGAAAGCGUGGGGAGCAAACAGG